GACGAACGCUGGCGGCGUGCUUAACACAUGCAAGUCGAACGGAAAGGCCCCUUUGGGGGUACUCGAGUGGCGAACGGGUGAGUAACACGUGAGUAACCUGCCCUUGACUUCGGGAUAACUUCAGGAAACUGGGGCUAAUACCGGAUAGGAAUCCUUGCCGCAUGGUGGGGGUUGGAAAGCUUCGGCGGGUUUGGAUGGACUCGCGGCUUAUCAGCUUGUUGGUGGGGUAGUGGCUUACCAAGGCUUUGACGGGUAGCCGGCCUGAGAGGGCGACCGGCCACAUUGGGACUGGGGUACGGCCCAGACUCCUACGGGGAGCAGCAGUGGGGAAUAUUGCACAAUGGGCGGAAGCCUGAUGCAGCAACGCCGCGUGCGGGAUGACGGCCUUCGGGUUGUAAACCGCUUUCAGCAGGGGCGAAGCUUGUGGUGACGGUACCUGCAGAAGAAGCACCGGCUAACUACGUG
This 465-nucleotide ribosomal RNA is filed under the name uncultured bacterium. RNAcentral describes it as "partial 16S ribosomal RNA". It matches the Rfam family "Bacterial small subunit ribosomal RNA", at positions 28 to 507 of the family's 1533-position model. The record is from RNAcentral.